Molecule: RNA transcript, 982 nt
Organism: Magnolia sinica
Lineage: Eukaryota; Viridiplantae; Streptophyta; Magnoliopsida; Magnoliales; Magnoliaceae
Exons: 3
Source: RefSeq, a predicted model, not a curated record
UCUCUCUCGAUAUCCCUCUUCCGAUCUCAACCCUCUCUCUCAAUCUCCCUCUCACUCUCCCUCCCUCUCCUGAUCUCCCUCUCCCUGCAACAUCCACCGAGGAGCUACCCGCUUCAGGUUCACCAUGAGCAGCUUCCAUCGAAUCGAAAUCGAUAUUACCUUCGAACGCUAAUUGCCUCAAAGGGUUGGAGAAAUGGUUCCACAUCAACGGUAGCAAUCCCAAUGUGAUCGUGGGGGCCCUUGUAGGUGGGCCCAAUCGGCUAGAUGACUACGUCAAUCAACAGUGGAACUACGAACAGACGGAGCCGUCCAUUGCCUGCAAUGCUCCUCUUGUGGGCCUUUUUGCUAAGCUGAAGGGCAUUUUGGGAAGUUCAGAAAAAUUCCAUGCAUCAACAGUCUGCUCAGCAUGCACUGAUGUCAGCUGGAGCGAAAGAUGCAGGUGCUCAUGACAUCACUAUUCAGCAUAUGCUGGCCAGGUGAAAACAGAAGCCCAACAGCAACAACAAAAUUCAUCUAAUGAUUUGAACAUUGAACCUGCUACUAAUUUUGGAGUAAAUAAGAGUCUCAUGAAUGAGGUUGUGUCCUUUUCUUCCACAAUAAUUCAUUUUCCCAUUUUUUGUUCAAAUCAUCAAGAUAAUUAUCUUGAUGAUCAGAAAAAUGCAAUCUUCUUUCAUAAAUAAAAACUUUGUUUAAGUGUCUUACCUUAUCAGGAUUGAGCCAGCUGCUUCCAUGUAUUUUCUUAUUGGUAACUUUGCAUACGCUCCAGAUUUCAAAAUAAAGUGUGGAUGGUCUUGUUUUGAUAAGUACUAUUAAGCUAAAGCUAUGGAAGCAGAAGCUACUUGCUUUCUUGCAAGGUGCACCUAUUUUACAUUUUUUCCCAACUCUGAUGUGAUGUUUUCUAUGCAUCCUCAAACUGACAGUGGUGUUCCUUAUAAAGGAACCCUUGUAAAAUAGGGUUCAUAUUAUACGGAUUACAUUUUUU